GGGCGCGGGUGUCGGGGUCGAGCACGCUCGGUGGCGACGAGCCGGUGCAGCUCGUCGGUGCCCGCCCGCGGACGCUGCGCAGCGUGCACG
This 90-nucleotide transfer RNA is filed under the name Mycolicibacterium chubuense. RNAcentral describes it as "tRNA-Ala(ggc)". Lineage: Bacteria; Bacillati; Actinomycetota; Actinomycetes; Mycobacteriales; Mycobacteriaceae. The record is from RNAcentral.